CCUACGGGGGGCAGCUGUGGGGAAUAUUGGACAAUGGGCGAAAGCCUGAUCCAGCCAUGCCGCGUGUGUGAAGAAGGCCUUCGGGUUGUAAAGCACUUUCAGUGGGGAAGAAAGCCUUGGGGCUAAUACCCUCGAGGAAGGACAUCACCCACAGAAGAAGCACCGGCUAACUCCGUGCCAGCAGCCGCGGUAAUACGGAGGGUGCGAGCGUUAAUCGGAAUUACUGGGCGUAAAGCGCGCGUAGGCGGUCUGAUAAGCCGGUUGUGAAAGCCCCGGGCUCAACCUGGGAACGGCAUCCGGAACUGUCAGGCUAGAGUGCAGGAGAGGAAGGUAGAAUUCCCGGUGUAGCGGUGAAAUGCGUAGAGAUCGGGAGGAAUACCAGUGGCGAAGGCGGCCUUCUGGACUGACACUGACGCUGAGGUGCGAAAGCGUGGGUAGCAAACAGGAUUAGAUACCCUAGUAGUC
Molecule: ribosomal RNA, 465 nt
Filed under: Vreelandella stevensii
Lineage: Bacteria; Pseudomonadati; Pseudomonadota; Gammaproteobacteria; Oceanospirillales; Halomonadaceae
Description: partial 16S ribosomal RNA
Rfam family: Bacterial small subunit ribosomal RNA
Source: RNAcentral